Molecule: ribosomal RNA, 778 nt
Filed under: Kosmotoga sp. enrichment culture
Lineage: Bacteria; Thermotogati; Thermotogota; Thermotogae; Kosmotogales; Kosmotogaceae
Description: bacterial SSU rRNA
Rfam family: Bacterial small subunit ribosomal RNA
Source: RNAcentral
AGAGUUUGAUCAUGGCUCAGGGUGAACGCUGGCGGCGUGCUUGACACAUGCAAGUCGAACGGUAUGUGGCAACACAUAGAGUGGCGAACGGGUGAGUAACACGUGGGAACGUACCCUCUGCAGGGGGAUAACUGACCGAAAGGACAGCUAAUACCGCAUAAGACCGAGAGGAGAAAGGUGCAACAGCAUCGGCAGAGGAGCGGCCCGCGGACCAUCAGCUAGUUGGUGGGGUAAGAGCCUACCAAGGCAACGACGGAUAGCCGGCGUGAGAGCGUGGCCGGCCACAAGGACACUGAGAUACGGGUCCUACUCCUACGGGAGGCAGCAGUGCGGAAUUUUAGAUAAUGGAGGCAACUCUGAUCUAGCGACGCCGCGUGCAGGAAGAAGGUCUUCGGAUUGUAAACUGCUGUGGUAAGGGAAAAAUGCCAUGUAGAGUGGAAAGCUACAUGGAGGGAUGGUACUUUACUAGAAAGCCCCGGCUAACUACGUGCCAGCAGCCGCGGUAAUACGUAGGGGGCGAGCGUUACCCGGAAUCACUGGGCGUAAAGGGAGCGUAGGUGGCCUGACAUGUCGACUGUGAAAACCCGGAGCUCAACUCCGGACUUGCAGUUGAAACUGCCAGGCUUGAGGACGGUAGAGGAAGACGGAACUGCCAGUGUAGGGGUAAAAUCCUUAGAUAUUGGCAGGAACGCCGGUGACGAAGGUGGUUUUCUGGGCCGGUUCUGACACUGAUGCUCGAAAGCCAGGGGAGCGAACGGGAUUAGAUACCCUGGUAGUC